Molecule: ribosomal RNA, 656 nt
Filed under: Triclistus sp. BF000080
Lineage: Eukaryota; Metazoa; Arthropoda; Insecta; Hymenoptera; Ichneumonidae
Description: eukaryotic LSU rRNA
Rfam family: Eukaryotic large subunit ribosomal RNA
Source: RNAcentral
CCCAAAAGAUCGAACGGGGAGAUUCAUCGAUCAGCGAUACCGGCGCUUGUGCGGUUCGUGAUGCCGGAGGCCUCGGUCUCUCGGCACACGUCCGUGUGGUUCCAUGCCGGGUUCGUCGUCGGCGUGCACUUCUCCCCUAGUAGGACGUCGCGACCCGUUGGGUGUCGGUCUACGGCCCGGGUGGAUGCCUGUCAUGUGACUUGCUUAACGGCGGUCAUGCGGCAGACCCCCGGUUGUCUGACCAGCUGCCCGGCGGUACUCGCACGGUAUCGAGUCGCAAAACAUUUGAACUGCGUUCGGCCCGCCGCAAGCGAGGCCAGUGAUCCCGGAUGUACGGACUUUGCGCCGUCACCGGGCCUGGCCAGCUGUUGGUCGGCGGUGCCCUGGGACUGACUCGUUAUACGAUACCGGUCGGCGACGCUACUGCUUUGGGUACUUUCAGGACCCGUCUUGAAACACGGACCAAGGAGUCUAACAUGUGCGCGAGUCAUUGGGAAAUAAUAAACCUAAAGGCGGAAUGAAAGUGAAGAUCGGCCCUGCGCCGAUCGAGGGAGGAUGGACCGCGUCACGAUGCGGUCCCGCACUCCCGGGGCGUCUCGUUCUCAUUGCGAGAAGAGGCGCACCCAGAGCGUACACGUUGGGACCCGAAAGAUGGU